RNAcentral lists this ribosomal RNA (1200 nucleotides) under uncultured bacterium. Its description in RNAcentral is "bacterial SSU rRNA". It matches the Rfam family "Bacterial small subunit ribosomal RNA", at positions 202 to 1384 of the family's 1533-position model. The record is from RNAcentral.
AAAGCUAGCCAUUUAUUUGGCUGGUGCUUUGAGAUAGGCUCGCGUCCUAUCAGCUAGUUGGUGAGGUAAAAGCUCACCAAGGCAACGACGGGUAGUUGGUCUGAGAGGACGAUCAGCAACACUGGAACUGAGACACGGUCCAGACACCUACGGGUGGCAGCAGUCGAGAAUCAUUCACAAUGGGGGCAACCCUGAUGGUGCAACGCCGCGUGGAGGAUGAAGGACCUAGGUUCGUAAACUCCUGUCAUAAUAGAGUAAGACAUAAUCGUUAAUAGCUUUUAUGUUUGAUAGUAUAUUAAGAGGAAGGGACGGCUAACUUCGUGCCAGCAGCCGCGGUAAUACGAAGGUCCCGAGCGUUAUUCGGAAUAACUGGGCGUAAAGGGAGCGUAGGCGGCUUGGUAAGUCAGAUGUGAAAGCCCAGGGCUCAACCCUGGAACUGCAUUCGAUACUGCCAGGCUAGAGUAAUGGAGAGGUAAGCGGAAUUUUGGGUGUAGCAGUGAAAUGCGUAGAUAUUCAAAGGAAGACCAAUGGCGAAAGCAGCUUACUGGACAUUUACUGACGCUGAGGCUCGAAGGCUAGGGUAGCGAAAGGGAUUAGAUACCCCUGUAGUCCUAGCAGUAAACGAUGUGCGCUUGGUGUGGGGAGGUUCGACCCUCUCUGUGCCGGAGCUAACGCGUUAAGCGCACCGCCUGGGGAGUACGGCCGCAAGGCUAAAACUCAAAGAAAUUGACGGGGACCCGCACAAGCGGUGGAGUAUGUGGCUUAAUUCGAUGCAACGCGAAGAACCUUACCAAGGCUUGACAUGUAUCGCUAAGCUAGAGAGAUCUAGUGAGCUUUCGAGCACUUUACACAGGUGCUGCAUGGCCGUCGUCAGCUCGUGUCGUGAGAUGUUUGGUUAAGUCCAGCAACGAGCGCAACCCCUAUGAUUAGUUACUAACACGUUAUGGUGAGGACUCUAAUCAGACUGCCCAGAUCAACUGGGAGGAAGGUGGGGAUGACGUCAGGUCAGUAUGGCCCUUACGCCUUGGGCUGCACACGUACUACAAUGCCCAGUACAAUGAGAACCGAUACCGCGAGGUGGAGGAAAUCUACAAAGCUGGGCCCAGUUCGGAUUGGAGGCUGCAACUCGCCUCCAUGAAGUUGGAAUCGCUAGUAAUGGCACAUCAGCUACGGUGCCGUGAAUACGUUCCCGGGUCUUGU